This 241-nucleotide ribosomal RNA is filed under the name Clostridium sp. MCC328. RNAcentral describes it as "partial 23S ribosomal RNA". It matches the Rfam family "Bacterial large subunit ribosomal RNA", at positions 2084 to 2324 of the family's 2925-position model. Lineage: Bacteria; Bacillati; Bacillota; Clostridia; Eubacteriales; Clostridiaceae. The record is from RNAcentral.
AAAGACCCCAUGGAGCUUUACUCCAGCUUGAUACUGGGAUUCGGUAAUGCAUGCACAGGAUAGGUGGGAGGCUACGAGUAUGGAACUCCGGUUUCAUAUGAGCCGCUGUUGGGAUACCACCCUUGCGUUACUGGGUUUCUAACCAUGGCCCGUGAUCCGGGUCGGGGACAAUGUCAGGUGGGGAGUUUGACUGGGGCGGUCGCCUCCGAAAGGGUAUCGGAGGCGCUCAAAGGUUCCCUCA